Molecule: long non-coding RNA, 2134 nt
Organism: Styela clava
Lineage: Eukaryota; Metazoa; Chordata; Ascidiacea; Stolidobranchia; Styelidae
Source: RefSeq, a predicted model, not a curated record
GCCACGAGCGACAUCGCUUCAGUCGCAACAGUGUGCGGAUAAAUUUUGUCGUAGGAUGAUCAAUGGAUUUUCUUGUUACCUUCGGAGCAAUAUUCAGUAAUAUGAAAUAUGGAGUUAAAAGGAAAUAAACGAAAUUGAGGAGAUCUACAAUACAGAUGCAGAAAUAUGAAAUAUGGAAUUAAAAAGAAAUAGACGAAAUUGAGGAGAUCUACAAUACAGAUGAAAAUAGCGAGAAGAAAUGAAAGUAAAGGUUUCACUUGCAGAUUGCAUAAUAAGAACACUGCUUGUUUCGACAGUUUUUCAUUGCAUCAAAAGAUAAAGAUCGAAUAUACGAAUAAGCAAACGAAACCAAAGAAUGAUCAACAACUUUCUGAAAACACUACUUGAAAGUCGGCGGGGCAAUUUAUCAUUGCAUUGAAAAAUGCGACAAUGCCAAUGGUCUGGCAUUGCAUCACUAAGUGAGCUUGAAGCCUAUCCAAAGAGUCAAGUUUCCUCACUUAUGGAAAUGGAAUCUUGACGACAUUCUCUGUUUACAGAAAAAAAAUAAAAGUUGUAAAUACAACAAGUAUUCAAGUAUAAAUGUGAGUUUCAUCAAAGAUAACUAAGAUUGGCUCACAAAUAAAAUGCAUUGAACCACACUUAUGUGAAAAGGUCUUUAAAUAUAAAAAGAGACUGUUGGACUGUUUUACUCUACUCGGUGACAUACGUACAUUGAUCCUGUAUGCAUACAAACGAAUUAUAUUCAAAGCUUUAACAUGGGUCGACCCAACUGUUUAUGUGAUGAUUGUAAACAGAUUCUUGAUUACAAAUCAAAGCAAUUGUGUUUAUCACUUUACAAUACAAUCGCCAUAUUUGAUGUUAUAGCAAGAUGAAUAUGAAAUAUAUAUUCAUUGAAAUUUAUUGCAUUAAUAAAUUUCAUACAAUUCUGUUGUGGAAUUUUUAUCACAACACAGUAUUGUUUAUUUUUGUAUAAAUUUUCUUUCAAUCAUUCUCGUUUUAAACAUUUAUAUCUGCAACAGUGGAAUACUUGGGCGUAAAGGCAACGGCGAUCGACAUUUUUGUCAUAUCUAAAUUAUAUCAAUGCUGUCCUGACGAAUUGUUAUACAAAACAUGUUAUAUAUAUAUUGUUUCAAUAUAUAUAUCACUUGUGUGUUAAAUUGAAGAUUCAAACAAUAUUUUAUGACCAGUUUGUGGCAAAAACCAGAUAGUCUAUCUAUGGUUGUCAAUGCCGCCAUAACACAAAUCUUUUUAUUACUUCAUAUCUUCUUAUCAACACUGCCUAUUCAGCGUGAGAAAUCUUGUGACAAACCAGGCCGGCAUGGCUUUGUCUCAUCUUCAACGUCAACUUCUUCAAAAACAUUACAAAUUACACUUACAUACACAGCGGUAGGGAGGGGGUUGGGGGUUCUGGGAAAUGGUGGUGGACCCUGGGAGGGAGAGAAAAACACAGCAUUGCAAUCAUAAUUAGGCGAUUUUGGUUUUGUCAAUUCUGAUAUAAAAUAUUCAAUAUUCUGGUAAUGACAUGGUCAGAUGGAAGUCCUUUCAUUUUUAUUUCCAAAUCAUUGGCAUUAAACGUGACAUUACGGUUGAAUGUCGUUGCCUUCUUUUUUUAAUCAAAAAUUAAGUGACAAGCAAUCCUUUUUACGUGUCCCAAUAUACAAAUAUGGGUGUUUGGACAGCCCAUGUGUGAUGGCAGUUCCAGCCUACUUCGGAAAUUGCAUAAAUAAUUAUUUUAAUGUUUGUGAACGAAUUUCUGAAGACAAUCAUAUUACUAUAAUUAUGUACACUGUUUUACGUUUUUUUAUUGAUAUAAUAUAUUUAGGAAUGAAUUAUUUUAUCUAUCAUGCUAUGUCUUUAUUUAGCUAUACGUUUUGUCAUAAUCAUUUAUUCCAUGCAAUUUCUUUAGGAUAUUUUUAACAGGAAAAGAAGAUAUAGUUUACGAGAGCGACAAUGGAAAAACAAAUUUAACAGGGCAUGCCAUGGCUUUUUUUAUUUUUAUUUAUUUUUUGUUAUAAAUGAAUUUGAACUCAUUCCUGACAUUGGCGGAAUUUCAGUUUAAAAACUAGAACUAGUUACUAAUGAUGGUUUUAGACGCAGAACUAUAGAGAUAGAAGUUGAUUUCCAGAGCAAUUAA